GUGUACUUGACAAACCACGGAAAUGAGAUUUUUGAUGACGAGUGUAUGAAUUCAUUAGAAGAAGCUAAGAAGCUGGCCAUAUCCGGCGUAUUGGCAGAGUUGUUCUCGAAGCAAAUGGUAUAUUCAGAAACCCUACAUUAGUAAGAGAGAUUAAAGAAUCAAAUAUUUCCCUCCUUACUUAUGGCAAAUUAAACAGUGUCCCCGAAGCGAUACAUGCUCAAUAUCUUAUGGGCGUAAUCGUUGAUUUAGUACAAGAAAUCACAAGUGCAGUUGCGUGUUUCAAUAACGGAGAUGAAGGAGCGGAGGUGAAAGAGAACACAAACAAGAUUGAACUUUCUUCUUUGCUGAAUUUGGUAUAACAAGUGAUGCAGCAUUGAAGUUCGGUACAUUCGAGUUGGGUCGGGUCGGGUCCGGUCAUUUGUUUAUUAAAUGUAUCCCGUGUGUGAAUUGAGUUUGAUUAGGAUGAUAAGUAGUGGAGUUCUGUUUUUCUUUAAUUUCUUGAUCACUCAAAUGAAGCUGGUUAAAUUUUUCGCA
This is a long non-coding RNA of Helianthus annuus (common sunflower), 534 nucleotides long. RefSeq lists it as uncharacterized. The record is from RefSeq and is a predicted model, not a curated record. NCBI's taxonomy places the organism in Eukaryota, Viridiplantae, Streptophyta, Magnoliopsida, Asterales, Asteraceae. The transcript has 2 exons.